GAUGAACGCUGGCGGCGUGCCUAAUACAUGCAAGUCGAGCGAACAGACGAGGAGCUUGCUCCUCUGACGUUAGCGGCGGACGGGUGAGUAACACGUGGAUAACCUACCUAUAAGACUGGGAUAACUUCGGGAAACCGGAGCUAAUACCGGAUAAUAUAUUGAACCGCAUGGUUCAAUAGUGAAAGACGGUUUUGCUGUCACUUAUAGAUGGAUCCGCGCCGCAUUAGCUAGUUGGUAAGGUAACGGCUUACCAAGGCAACGAUGCGUAGCCGACCUGAGAGGGUGAUCGGCCACACUGGAACUGAGACACGGUCCAGACUCCUACGGGAGGCAGCAGUAGGGAAUCUUCCGCAAUGGGCGAAAGCCUGACGGAGCAAAGCCGCGUGAGGGAUGAAGGUCUUCGGAUCGUAAAACUCUGUUAUUAGGGAAGAACAAAUGUGUAAGUAACUAUGCACGUCUUGACGGUACCUAAUCAGAAAGCCACGGCUAACUACGUG
This 497-nucleotide ribosomal RNA is filed under the name uncultured bacterium. Its description in RNAcentral is "partial 16S ribosomal RNA". It matches the Rfam family "Bacterial small subunit ribosomal RNA", at positions 28 to 507 of the family's 1533-position model. The record is from RNAcentral.